Canis lupus familiaris (dog) is the source of this 908-nucleotide long non-coding RNA. RefSeq lists it as uncharacterized. The transcript has 3 exons. Lineage: Eukaryota; Metazoa; Chordata; Mammalia; Carnivora; Canidae. The record is from RefSeq and is a predicted model, not a curated record.
GAGGCGCCUUGAUGCCCUUCAGGGGCGGGUGUCGCAGGCGAUCACACUGAGCAGCUGGUGGCAGGAGUUGCCAAGAAAGAGCCUUCCCUGGAGGGUUGGGACCCCUGGAGGGGCCGUAACCAGAGGGAGCCGCGGACCCAGGCCAGUUGUCCCCACGCUGCUGGGCCUCCUGCCAGGAAACGUGCCAAACAGAGGCUUCCUGCUGAUGCCGGGAACUUUCCAGAGUAGAAGGCACCUGGACUGGCCCUGCCACAGGUUCCUGUUUAGAGCACAAGGGACCCUUGCCCAUCCUCGGGGUUCUCUAAGUCAAGCGGCCCGACUCAGGCACCCGAAGGGACUGGUCAUGCCCCGGAGGAGGAGCAAGGGUGGCCAAUCCGGAGGGCAUAGACUACAGCCACCUGCCACAUGGCCACAUCUGUCCUUCUGAAGAGAGGUGCCUCCGUGACUCCGGGCAAUUGUCUCCAGAUGGAAUCGUGGGCCUUCAAAUGUUGAGGAGGAGCGCUGAGAGCAUUCCCGACUUGAGCCUGCAAGAACAAUGUCAUUAUCUAUGAAAAACCUGUUUACUGGCCACCAAGGAGGCAGAGAACUAGUUCAGCUGCCCUGUUAGUCUAGAAAAUACUGUGGCUGGAAAGUGACAGAAAUAUAAAUCUACAAAGCCCCAGCCAACAUCUCAAGCACCACACUCCUUCUCUGGGGCCAGCAUUACUUACUAUCCCAAGCUCCGAUCCUGAAGCAUUCAGCAGUUCCUCCUGAAAACAUGAAAAGUUCUGAUAAUAUUUCCUGUUCUUUAAUACUUUGAAUACUGAGAAGCUACACCUUGUUUAUACGAUAACACUCCAUGAAACAAGUGGAGUAUAUGAUUCACUAACUGCAGAUGCCUAUUCUGAGAUGAACCAAGAAAGUUUGGA